ACGAGACAUUUUACACUUGCCAGGGUAACUCUGACAGACUGGUGAAGAGAGUUUUGCAUCACAAAGUGAAUGCAUGCAUGACUUUUCAAUUUAAAAGCAUGGAGAACUUUCCUUCCAUUUCCACUGGCUGUCCCAAAGGCAAUGUAUCAGAAAGCCUGCCAACCUGACAGUGACUCAGCCACCUGGCCAUGAUGUAAAGACUGCAAAAAGCCUCGCAGAAAGAAAGGCCCAUUGGUGAGAAAUCAAGGCCUUUCGCUGAGAGCCAUGUGAAUGAGCAUCUGAGAAGCAGAUCCUCCCUCUUAGUCAAACUUCUGGACAACCGUCAGGCUGACAUCUUGGCUGCAACAUGAGACCCUCAGAUAAACCACUCUGCUAAACCAUUCUGUACCCUGAUCUGCAAACUUUGAGAUGUAAUAGGAGAAAAAGAAGAUGGGGAGAGAAGGAGGAAGAAGAGAAGGAAGAGGAGGAGGAGGAUGAGCAGUGCAGCACUCACUGAAUGCCCCUAUGCUCCAGGCAAUAUGCCAAGUCUUCAUAUACAUCAUCUCAUGUAAUUCUCACAGCCACCUCAUGAGAAAUAACCGCUGACUACCCUGGGCACUGAGCACUGGCCCUGACGGGGGAGGUGGCCGGUGAGCAGAGCACACAGAGCGUCCUCAUCUCAGCAAGCCAGCGCGGACACAAGAACGUGGGCAGCAGCCAGGACAGCAAGCAGGUGAAACACCAAGCAGGAGCCAAGUGAUGAUGCACACAAACAACCCAAGGGGAGAAAAAAUGGUUACAAUAAAAGUAGACGCUAUAAAAAUGGUCAA
Long non-coding RNA from Chinchilla lanigera (long-tailed chinchilla), 809 nucleotides. RefSeq lists it as uncharacterized. NCBI's taxonomy places the organism in Eukaryota, Metazoa, Chordata, Mammalia, Rodentia, Chinchillidae. The transcript has 4 exons. The record is from RefSeq and is a predicted model, not a curated record.